UUUGUUUUCCAAAAGACAUACAUUCUCGAAGAACGAUCCUACAUUAUUUCAAAAGUGAUAUCAAGUGCGAAACCUUAAAAUGGAAAAUACAACACAGCAAGAUAUUUAAAAGAUUUAUAGAGUUUGUGAUUUACAUUUUUGUAAUCAAGAUCGUACCUGGAAUAAAAAGAGUUUUAGAAGUUAAUUCUAAAGUUUUUAUAUACACCAGUUCAUAUGGAUGAUCAACCUACUGGUAAUUUGGUGUCCGGUGAUGUCGAUCCAGGUACAAACCCUGUAUUUAAAGACAAACAUUUGUUGUAGAACUUGUUGGUGGACCACUCUCUCGUUGGUAUUAGACAUGUACUGUUACCUGAGAUAUAAGCAGUAACUGAAAAGGAGAAAGGAUCAGAUAAUCCUAAUCAGGAAUCUUCCAGAGUGCAGAUGAUGCAGUUUUUGUGAGUGAGGUAUAAGGUCUGUCUCUUGUAAGACCUCUUUUAAGAAUUUAACCCAGGCAGUUGUUUACAACCAAGUUAGAUCUCAAGCAUAGCAAAGGAAUCGUCCAACCUGUGAAUUCAGUUUAAUUACUGAGAUCAAGGAUGAUGAAACAUUCAUUAUGAUUAUACAGAGCUACAAAGAGUCAUGUUGAGAAUCCAAAUUAUCAUAAUGAAUUGAGACGAGACAACACCUGGGUGGAAAUUGAGGAAAAAUGCAGAUAAAAGGCAUUUUUAUAUUAACGUUAUGAAUCCAAUAUUUUUAUCAAAUCGUCACAUAGAUAAUAUUUCUCUACGCAUAAUACUAAAAUUAAAAAGGUCAGGUUAAAACA
RNAcentral lists this long non-coding RNA (802 nucleotides) under Sitophilus oryzae (rice weevil). RNAcentral describes it as "uncharacterized LOC115877568". Lineage: Eukaryota; Metazoa; Arthropoda; Insecta; Coleoptera; Curculionidae. The record is from RNAcentral.